RNAcentral lists this ribosomal RNA (726 nucleotides) under uncultured bacterium. RNAcentral's name for it is "bacterial SSU rRNA". It matches the Rfam family "Bacterial small subunit ribosomal RNA", at positions 104 to 828 of the family's 1533-position model. The record is from RNAcentral.
GGGUGAGUAACACGUAUGCAACCUGCCCCUGUCAGGGGGACAACCCGCCGAAAGGCGGGCUAAACCCGCGUACAUGCCACCGGGGCAUCCCGGAGGCAGGAAAGGCUUCGGCCGGACAGGGAUGGGCAUGCGGCGCAUUAGGCAGUAGGCGGGGUAACGGCCCACCUAACCGACGAUGCGUAGGGGUUCUGAGAGGAAGGUCCCCCACACUGGUACUGAGACACGGACCAGACUCCUACGGGAGGCAGCAGUGAGGAAUAUUGGUCAAUGGUCGGGAGACUGAACCAGCCAAGCCGCGUGAGGGAUGAAGGUACAGAGUAUCGUAAACCCCUUUUGUCAGGGAACAAAGGCGGGGACGUGUCCCCGGAUGAGUGUACCUGAAGAAAAAGCAUCGGCUAACUCCGUGCCAGCAGCCGCGGUAAUACGGAGGAUGCGAGCGUUAUCCGGAUUUAUUGGGUUUAAAGGGUGCGCAGGCGGUCUGUUAAGUCAGCGGUCAAAGCCCGGGGCUCAACCCCGGCCCGCCGUUGAAACUGGCAGUCUCGAGUUGGAGAGAAGUAUGCGGAAUGCGCGGUGUAGCGGUGAAAUGCAUAGAUAUCGCGCAGAACUCCGAUUGCGAAGGCAGCAUGCCGGCUCCACACUGACGCUGAGGCACGAAAGCGUGGGUAUCGAACAGGAUUAGAUACCCUGGUAGUCCACGCAGUAAACGAUGAAUGCUGGCUGUCCGGG